AUUGAACGCUGGCGGCAUGCCUUACACAUGCAAGUCGAACGAGUGGCGGACGGGUGAGUAACAUAUCGGAACCUGCCUAGUAGAGGGGGAUAACUACUCGAAACAGUAGCUAAUACCGCAUAUUAUUCGAGGGGCCGAGAUGGGAUUAGCUGGUUGGUGGGGUAAAGGCGCACCAAGGCGACGAUCCGUAGCGGGUCUGAGAGGAUGAUCAGCCACACUGGGACUGAGACACGGCCCAGACUCCUACGGGAGGCAGCAGUGGGGAAUAUUGGACAAUGGGCGCAAGCCUGAUGCAGCCAUGCCGCGUGUAUGAAGAAGGCCUUCGGGUUGUAAAGGACUUUCGUCAGGGAAGCGGUACCUGCAGAAUAAGCACCGGCUAACUACGUGCCAGCAGCCGCGGUAAUAC
Molecule: ribosomal RNA, 406 nt
Filed under: uncultured bacterium
Lineage: Bacteria
Description: partial 16S ribosomal RNA
Rfam family: Bacterial small subunit ribosomal RNA
Source: RNAcentral